This 268-nucleotide ribosomal RNA is filed under the name uncultured prokaryote. RNAcentral's name for it is "partial 16S ribosomal RNA". It matches the Rfam family "Bacterial small subunit ribosomal RNA", at positions 524 to 792 of the family's 1533-position model. The record is from RNAcentral.
UACGUAGGUCCCGAGCGUUGUCCGGAUUUAUUGGGCGUAAAGCGAGCGCAGGCGGUUAGAUAAGUCUGAAGUUAAAGGCAGUGGCUCAACCAUUGUAGGCUUUGGAAACUGUUUAACUUGAGUGCAGAAGGGGAGAGUGGAAUUCCAUGUGUAGCGGUGAAAUGCGUAGAUAUAUGGAGGAACACCAGUGGCGAAAGCGGCUCUCUGGUCUGUAACUGACGCUGAGGCUCGAAAGCGUGGGGAGCGAACAGGAUUAGAUACCCGGGUA